RNAcentral lists this unclassified non-coding RNA (6215 nucleotides) under Leishmania donovani. Its description in RNAcentral is "gene:LdHU3.36.2380(CDS-product:hypothetical_prote in_conserved)". The record is from RNAcentral. Lineage: Eukaryota; Euglenozoa; Kinetoplastea; Trypanosomatida; Trypanosomatidae.
GAAGAAAAAACGAGGUGUACAAUAAGCCACCCAUACACACUCGCGCGAAAGAGAGGGGAGGGGGACAACCAAACCGGCGUACGCCACUCGUUCACAACGAUCAGGGAGACUGCUGACUGAGCGUGUGUGUGUGUGUGUUCCCGACAGUGCCCUUGCAGGGGCGGCAGCCGCAAUGAACCGUGCCUCAGUGCGUCUGCUCGGGAACUACUCCCGAACGUCUGGCGCUCAACAGCACUCACAGGCAGCACACACGCCGUCUUUCUCGACCACUCGUUCUUCUUCUGUUCUCGGUUCGUUGGUGCGUAUGCGUAAUCAGUUCCAUCGACUGCGACACGCCCAACAGCAGCAGGCGAUCGCAGCUGUGUUGGCGCGGUACCAACUGCAGCCAGCACUGAGGACGCCUGCACCCUCCACUUCUCGGGCAGCAGGUCAGAUCGAUGGGGACGAUUCGGUCGGUCAAGAGGGCAGCGGUGACACUGGCGGCUCCACCGCUUCGUCUGUUCUUCAAACCGCCAUCAUCCUCUGCACCGAGGCGCUGCGGCUUCUUAACGGUGAGGUGCGCUGCCGUGAUAAUCUUUCGGAUGUGCCGAAAAGCUCCCCUAUGUACGGGUCAGAGAUCGGAAAGCUGCUCAACAUUGCCGCAGCCUUUGGCGCCUCUACUACCUUCCCUCGCGUGCAGCACGCCCUUCAUUGGAUCAAGCUCAACAAGGAGUCGCUGCAAACUCCUCGGCAGGUGAUGUCGCUAUGCAUGCCCUUGCUCAACUUGGGCGAUGGACGGACGGCUGGGGUGGCGUUUGUACUCGAGGAGCUUUACGAGCCUCUCCUGCUUGCGCUGCAAGACGUGGCCUCCACCUCACUUGAGUCAGCAGCGGAGUCGGCAGACAACGCCCCCAGCGAUGCUACGGCUGCCGUGCAGCAGCAUCUGGUGGCCAUUACGUCCGCCAUGGGUAUGGUGGCGAAGUGGUCCAGUCUGCGGCUCGGCAGCAAGUCGAAGGACUCGCUCACAUCAUUGGCUUCGGAGGUGCACACGGCAGCGAAGUCAGAUGCGACGGCCGAAGAGCUGGAUAAGAUGCUGAGGGUUGCCGAGGCGUGUGCGGCAGCGCUCAGGCGCCAGAGCGACCGCUGCCGUGGCACCGGCCCCGAUGAGGCUUUUGCGGCGAUGGCGCACCUGUCCCCGUCCGACGUGCUGCAGUGGAUUCAGUGCCUCCAUGGGCUCGAAAAGAUGUACGCGUUGGUAGCCCCCACACUGGGGGUCUCUCGUGCUCAAGCGGAGACCGCAUCGCGGCGCCUUCUCCUGUGCUACCGUGCCUUGCUUCCCUUGACACAGCGCACCCUGGAGUUGACCGGCGGAGGUGGCGGUGCGACUGUCGCCGCUGCGAGCAGUACCACCUUGGCAACGGGGGCGACUGCCGCGAACGUGCGGGUGACGGAUGUGGUGGAGCUCAUUCAGGUGGGCUUGCAGACCAGCAUUGAACCCACCCAUGUGGACCUAGCGCUUUCCUACGGUCUGCAGGCACUGCCCGGGGCACUGGCCUCAGCCACAGUCAAAGAUCUCAGCGAUGCCGCGCAGGUCGUGAACAAGGUGCGACAGAAGCGGCCGUCCGCUCUCCCAGCACCGCUGCUGCUCUCUAUUCAGGCUGCCUUUCGUCCCGCUUUAUUUCUCUUGCGAGAGACGCACGCCCUGCAGCUCCGCGCGUCGGACUGCGGCGUUCUUCUUUCGAGCCUUUCUCGCUGGGAGGAGGUUCCGGGGGUGACGGUCAGCGCCGACAUAGUCGAGCUUCUAUCCCAGCGCUUCGGGGAGCAAAUGCACGUCGUUGGCGCAAGCCAACUUGUGCCCUUUGUGGCGUCCCUUGCUCGUUUCGAGGAGCGGAAUCGCUCGCCGCAGCGUGGCGGUGCUGCAGGUCACGCAGUUGAAAAUGCAGCGGUGCUUGACGAGGAUCUGGCGGGUGACGGUGCUCAACUGGCCUACUCAGGCGUCGCAUGGAAGACGUCAGAGGGCCGAGCAGACGGUCUCACGUCCUCACCGGUUCACGGAGCACGCACCCGCGGUGCUGAAGGGGUGCGGUACCGCUUCUGCACGACUUCACGUGUUGUGUCGCAGUGCGUUCAGCGCGCCAUUGUCCUGGCCGGCGACAUUGAGACCCCUGGUGAUCCAGCGGUACCCCCGCGUCUUUCCGCCGCGGAUGCAGCGCAGCUGCUGACCCACUUUGUGCAGCUAUCCGCUCCGCAGUGCGCGGACUUCUUCAACAAGGUCGAGCCACUGCUCGUGCCGGCCAUGCAAGGCAGUGCCGACACGCCGUCCCCCGCUUCAGCAGCGAUCCGCCUGCGUGUAGUGACGGGAGACGCCGUCCAACGGUUUGUGCGGUACGCUGCUCAGCAGCGAGAGCACACGUGGGCACAGCGCACAAAUUCCACCACGCAGAAGACCAGGAAGGAGGCCUCUGUCGUCGAGGUGCGACGCGCUACUGCCUUGCUAAGCGGUAUGUCACGUGAUCUUACCAAGCUCAUCCGCGAGGCUGCUACCCCGAAGGAUCUGGUGCUGGCGUGCUCGCUGUUGCGCCGUCGGCUGCUGGACAAGGGUGCAGCGGCUGGUGCCGUAGUCGACAGCGACGAGGGAGCACGGAAGAAGCUAAAGAGCACCAAGACAAGCACCGCCGUCGCGCGCGCGCGAGCGCGAGCGUGGACGCGAAAGGAGCUGGAGCUGGCUACCGUCUUCGCCGCACAGGCGGCGAAAAUGGCACCCAAAUGCAAGGGCGUAGAACUGGGUGCGCUUGCCAGCGUCACGUCUUCCCUGUGCACUGCAGGCGUGCUGCCCCGGUCAGUGGCACAGGAGUUCAUGCGCGCCGUGUGGGCCCGCUGCGCAGCCGGGCUUGCUGUCGCCUCGAGGGGCGAGGCCGCGGGACCAGAGGCUGCUGCAGCGCUUACGCUCAGCUUGGAGAACUGCAAAACUAUCAUGGAUGCGUCUCGCUCGGCCCACCUGGCGCGGACCGUGCCCCCGGUCAUUUUUUUGGAGGCCUUUGCCGCCCAAUGCAGUGAGCUCCGGGAGGGGCGUUUGGGCGUGGUCGGCGGGGAGGAGUCGCCCUCGACCGCGCGCGGGACGGCACGAGCGUACGCGGAGGCGGUCACGAAGCUGCGCCGCACCGCGGACUUGGGGCGGUCACUCGUGUCCUACUUCGGGUCGCUGCGGCCGUCUCGCGGCGCGGCGGAAGGCGACGCGGCGAUGCAGAGCACAACCUGGCGAGAAGCCCAGGUAAGUGCGCUAGAGUCCUACCUCGAGGUUGCCCAUUCUGUGGCGGAAGCUUACGCGACGGAGGCCACGCUCUCCGAAACGUGGUGGGCCGAGUUGGAUGGCGGUAGCCCGCCGCCGAUGCCGCUGGAGCUGCUCAGCACAACCGCCAACGUGAUGGCACAGAUUUAUCGACUGGUGCACCGCCGCGUCGGCUCGACGAAGCGAGUCAGCAGCAUACCCGCAACGGCGCCGACCGUCCCCGACGAAGUGCCGGACGCAGAGGGCGAUGUUCUGGACGGCAGCUUGGCCGCGGUGGAUGACGCCGGAGCAGCGGUUCUGUCCGAGUUGGAGAGCAAAGUGCUCGAGGAUGAUGUGGAGCCAUCGCUUCUCGUCGACGACUCGCCGGCAAACCUUUUCACUGCCACUCUUGACCAAGCAGUCCAUGACAUUCUGGGACUGCUGGGCGACACGAUUGUGGCUCUCGCCAGACAGCAACAGCAGCAGCUCUCUUCGAGCGUCUCUGCAAAUGUGUCGGGCGAGACAGCCACAGAGGACUACGGCGGGCGGCUCACAACUGCGCCAGGUCAUGCCUUGGUGCAGAACCCAAAGCACCUCCUGAUGCUCUUGCGGGCCUUCGAGACAGUCGAUCACCCGCACCCGGAGAUGCUGUACAGCGUGUUGCCGGAGCUGCGCGGCUGCGCUGACCGGCUCGACCCCUUGGAACUGUCACUGCUCAUUCGCGCCUUGACGCAGCUAGGCGCGUGGAACAGCCGCCUGCUGAGCGCGCUUGCCACCGCCGUGGCGUCGAAGAUGAAUCAGUGCGAGCUGCGGCAAUGCUACACACUGCUGCACGGGCUGUGCCGAUCUGGCUGCACCAGUCCAGACACGUAUGUGGAGCUGCGGUCGACACCGCACAGGGACUGGGAUUCUGGCCGCGGAGGUGCCUCGAACAAGGCGGCGGCGCAGGAGCCGUUGCAGCGUUUGGCGGAGAACACGCUGCUCCGCCUGGACGCAUUCGUGCGCACCAAGGACGCCUUUAUGUCUCUUUCGCGGACGGCCGCGGUGGCGGACUUGGUGGGUGUGGUAAAGGCCCUGCGCUUCUUUCACGCGCCGCCGCCAGCGACAUACGACGCUUUCGUGGUACUCGCCGUUCGCAGACUCGCCUCUCAGGCGAAGCUUCUGUCGCUCGGAACGGUUGUGCAGCACACCAUGGCGCUGCUCAACGCCGUAUCGGAGCUUCGGCAGCCGGAGCAGCAACGUGUGUCGGCGCAGGUGUUGUGGACGGUGCUGCGCCGCGCGUUCGCGUCGUCGACUGAAGCCGGUGAACCAGGAGCGUUGACAGCAGCCGCGGGGGAUGCGUUCGCCGGCGUGCUGCACCUGCCCGCGUGCUGGGAACUCACCCGAUUUGCCGCCUUGCAUUCCUUGCAAUACGGCCGAGAGGCGACGCGGGAUUUUUUUGCACCUAUCGCCGCCUCAACCACGGAGCAGCGAGCGGUCAGUUGCGCACAUCUGACUCAGACGCGUCUUGCAAGGUUCAUCGACACGUACGCAUCGGACCUCACGGCCCACACACGCUCACCUUCACCUCCCUUGACGGCCGCUGAGCGGGCUGCUCUCCGUCGAUAUGCGCUUCACGCCUCACCGUGCUUGGUCCGCGGCGAUCGCGAGCUUGACGUCUACAUGUGCGCACCCCUGAAGCUUGCUCGCUUGAUCGCGGACGGUGACCCAACCACACUCGUGCACGCUGCCACUACGGCCGCUCCGGCAGCGCAAGCGAGGCGGUGUAUACGGCUGCUUGCGUGUCUCCUCCGCACCGACUUGUGGCCUCCCUCAAUCUCGGCUGCGACGGCCGACACACAAAUGCUCGUCGCUGCGCUGCUGCGGCUGUGGACGGCGGCGGAGCUUCACGGCCUCCUGCGACAUUCGCCAGGCGCCUUCUCGACAGAGGAGUUGCUGGUGCUGGCGGCUGCCGCCGAUCGUGUGCACCAGCACAGCGUCGAUGCCGGCAACUUGCAGGACGACUUUGCCGUGACUGUGCGCCAGCUGUGUGCUGCCACGACGGAGUGGCGCCUGCCUGCUGCCGUGGAUGCUUGGAUGCUGUUCGCCAUGCCCUUUAUGGCGAGCUCGUCGAUGCCGUCAGCCGCGCUGACGAACUUCAGCGACGAACUCUUCUUGAUGCUUGUGGCGAGCGGCGACGUGCUUGUAACGAGGUUCGCGCACGCACAACGGUCAUGGGCUACGCGUGGGGCACGAAUGCUGCCGGAGCUGCUGCGUCUGUUUCGCGGUCCUGGCCAGCUGGAUGUGGCCAUGUUGCAAUCGGGGGCUGUCGGUGGCGACACGAUAUCUUUCGCGCUUCCACACACUGCCGCCGACGCCCCGGCCGCAAGGGCACGCUUUUUAGAGAUGUACAAGGAGCUGCUCCGCUGCUUUACUUUGUGCCUCGCUUGAACUCACGGAGCCGUGCCUGGGUAAGCGCUCUUGCGCGUUCAUGGGCUGUUGGCUGAUUGCCGUGCUUGCGUGUGGGUGUGGGUGUGUAUGUGGGGGUGGGGCGGGGGGUUUUUCCUCGUCUAGUGCGUUUCGCAUUGUCCCCCUCUUCGUUCACCUUCUUGCACGGUAUGCGAGCCUCCGGAGGCGCCCUUCACAUCAUAAAGCGGCACGCACAUACGGGAUGCGGGCGGUGAAGAAGGCAGGAAGACGAGGCAAUGGCUGCCGUCUUCGUCGUCCUUCCUUCCUCGCAGCUUCUCAUUCGCCAUCGAUGCACCGCAUUUCUCUCUGGAUAGUGCGGCUGUGUCUGCGGUGCGCACCCACACCGCACGGUGUUCGAUGAUGCGCAGACGACCGUCUGACGCCUACACCUCUUUAGCGCACCUUCGUGCUUUCUUCAUCAGCCGUGUGCAUCAACUCAUGCUCCGCCGCGCACGGCAAGUGCCCUUCUUCUCCCCCGCUCUUCCUCAUGCUUCUCGUGCGUUUCCGCCUUCGCUUCUUG